AUACGGAGGGUGCAAGCGUUAAUCGGAAUUACUGGGCGUAAAGCGCGCGUAGGCGGAUAUUUAAGUCUCAUGUGAAAGCCCUGGGCUCAACCUGGGAACUGCAUGGGAUACUGGGUAUCUAGAAUACAGUAGAGGGUAGUGGAAUUUCAGGUGUAGCGGUGAAAUGCGUAGAGAUCUGAAGGAACAUCAGUGGCGAAGGCGACUACCUGGACUGAUAUUGACGCUGAGGUGCGAAAGCGUGGGGAGCAAACGGGAUUAGAAACCCUUGUAGUCC
RNAcentral lists this ribosomal RNA (274 nucleotides) under uncultured bacterium. RNAcentral's name for it is "partial 16S ribosomal RNA". It matches the Rfam family "Bacterial small subunit ribosomal RNA", at positions 523 to 796 of the family's 1533-position model. The record is from RNAcentral.